Molecule: long non-coding RNA, 818 nt
Organism: Bos taurus (domestic cattle)
Lineage: Eukaryota; Metazoa; Chordata; Mammalia; Artiodactyla; Bovidae
Source: Ensembl
CGCAGACUCGGGGACGCUAGGGAUCGGAGCAUCUCCUUGUACCUUGAAAGGGAGAUGACCGGGUUACCUUACACUGACCUCUGGACAGCUGCCCAUCUGCACCGAGAGAACGCACAAGGCCGCAUUUGUUUGCUUGCAAAAUAUCUGGGUGUUUUCUACACCCGCCUACCUGUCCCCCAACACACACACACACCGGCGGGGGUGGGGGCCUGAGGGAUUAGAGGGAUAGAGUCAGGUCAAUCAGAAGAGAUUAGAGACUGGGCUGGACGUGUCCACUCUGAGGGCCUCUGAAAGUAGGCACUGCAGCUACGCUCCUGGUGCCCCGCCCUCAGGUGACUCGAGAUUGAUUUUUCUUGGUUCGUUAGUUCUGAAAGCCCGGGGCUGUAAAACGUUUGGGUCCAGAAUGAAACUCUGAUCCACGGAAGCUUUCCUUGCCCUGCACUCUCACCCCUGCUGGUGUCUGGAACUGGGCAGACUGGAGGAUUCUAAAGAGUUUGAGGUUGCGUAACCAUCCAGAAACACACGAUAAGAGUCCUCUUUCAGCAAAUAUUCUUGAUUAAGUCAUGAAAAUGGAAUUGGAGCUUAUUUUUCCCCUUUGUAUGGUCCAAUUUGUUCCAAACCUAAACCGCCCAGGAGAAAUGGAAAGAGCUCUGUUUCAUAACCUAAUAAUUCUGACUGCCAGGAAGGAUGAUUGCAAAGCUAAAUUCACCUUCUAUCAGAAUUUUUAUUUCUCCGUUUCUUUGUUUCUUGAAGAAGACUCAACUAUUUUUUUCUUCCCAUUAGUCAUGUUUUAAAUUUGAAAAUAAAAACACAAAUAG